Molecule: ribosomal RNA, 17 nt
Filed under: Perilla frutescens var. crispa
Lineage: Eukaryota; Viridiplantae; Streptophyta; Magnoliopsida; Lamiales; Lamiaceae
Source: RNAcentral
GGGGUGCGAUCAUACCC